GUAGGGGGCAAGCGUUGUCCGGAUUUAUUGGGCGUAAAGAGCGUGUAGGCGGCUAGGUAGGUGGGUUGUGAAAACUGGAGGCUCAACCUUCAGACGUCGACCCAAACCCCCUGGCUAGAGUCCGGAAGAGGAGAGUGGAAUUCCUGGUGUAGCGGUGAAAUGCGCAGAUAUCAGGAAGAACACCCGUGGCGAAGGCGGCUCUCUGGGACGGUACUGACGCUGAGACGCGAAAGCGUGGGGAGCGAACAGGAUUAGAUACCCUGGCAGUCCACGCCGUAAACGAUGGGUGCUAGGUGUGGGGGGUGUCGACUCCCUCCGUGCCGAAGCUAACGCAUUAAGCACCCCGCCUGGGGAGUACGGCCGCAAGGCUA
This 371-nucleotide ribosomal RNA is filed under the name uncultured bacterium. RNAcentral describes it as "bacterial SSU rRNA". It matches the Rfam family "Bacterial small subunit ribosomal RNA", at positions 527 to 896 of the family's 1533-position model. The record is from RNAcentral.